Molecule: small nucleolar RNA, 150 nt
Filed under: Seriola dumerili (greater amberjack)
Lineage: Eukaryota; Metazoa; Chordata; Actinopteri; Carangiformes; Carangidae
Source: RNAcentral
CUUCAGUGAUGAGACGAUGACGAGUCGGAACAGAACUCAGUCUGGUUCUGGUGGUUACUGGCUCAGAUCCACGUUCUGUGGUUCUGGGCCAGUUCCUCAGAGCAGGGAGUUCUUCUUAGUUGAAGACAUCGAGGCAUUUGUCUGAGAAGG